This 73-nucleotide transfer RNA is filed under the name Candidatus Woesearchaeota archaeon. RNAcentral's name for it is "tRNA-Tyr". It matches the Rfam family "tRNA". From Rfam's summary of the family: Transfer RNA (tRNA) molecules are approximately 80 nucleotides in length. Their secondary structure includes four short double-helical elements and three loops (D, anti-codon, and T loops). Lineage: Archaea; Nanobdellati; Candidatus Woesearchaeota. The record is from RNAcentral.
CCCUCCUUAGUUUAGUGGCUAAAACGUCCGGCUGUAACCCGGAAGAUCCCUGGUUCGAGUCCGGGAGGGGGGA